CCUACGGGGGACAGCAGUGAGGAAUAUUGGUCAAUGGUCGGGAGACUGAACCAGCCAAGCCGCGUGAGGGAUGAAGGUACAGAGUAUCGUAAACCUCUUUUGUCAGGGAACAAAGGCGGGGACGUGUCCCCGGCUGAGUGUACCUGAAGAAAAAGCAUCGGCUAACUCCGUGCCAGCAGCCGCGGUAAUACGGAGGAUGCGAGCGUUAUCCGGAUUUAUUGGGUUUAAAGGGUGCGCAGGCGGUCUGUUAAGUCAGCGGUCAAAGCCCGGGGCUCAACCCCGGCCCGCCGUUGAAACUGGCAGUCUCGAGUGGGAGAGAAGUAUGCGGAAUGCGCGGUGUAGCGGUGAAAUGCAUAGAUAUCGCGCAGAACUCCGAUUGCGAAGGCAGCAUGCCGGCUCCACACUGACGCUGAGGCACGAAAGCGUGGGUAUCGAACAGGAUUAGAUACCCUUGUAGUC
Molecule: ribosomal RNA, 459 nt
Filed under: uncultured bacterium
Lineage: Bacteria
Description: partial 16S ribosomal RNA
Rfam family: Bacterial small subunit ribosomal RNA
Source: RNAcentral